GAGGAGCUUGCUCCUUUGACGUUAGCGGCGGACGGGUGAGUAACACGUAGGUAACCUACCUAUAAGACUGGGAUAACUUCGGGAAACCGGAGCUAAUACCGGAUAAUAUUUCGAACCGCAUGGUUCGAUAGUGAAAGAUGGCUUUGCUAUCACUUAUAGAUGGACCUGCGCCGUAUUAGCUAGUUGGUAAGGUAACGGCUUACCAAGGCAACGAUACGUAGCCGACCUGAGAGGGUGAUCGGCCACACUGGAACUGAGACACGGUCCAGACUCCUACGGGAGGCAGCAGUAGGGAAUCUUCCGCAAUGGGCGAAAGCCUGACGGAGCAACGCCGCGUGAGUGAUGAAGGUCUUCGGAUCGUAAAACUCUGUUAUUAGGGGAAGAA
This 385-nucleotide ribosomal RNA is filed under the name uncultured Staphylococcus sp. RNAcentral's name for it is "bacterial SSU rRNA". It matches the Rfam family "Bacterial small subunit ribosomal RNA", at positions 73 to 449 of the family's 1533-position model. The record is from RNAcentral. Lineage: Bacteria; Bacillati; Bacillota; Bacilli; Caryophanales; Staphylococcaceae.